UGUUUUCUUGUAACUGUUGAGGAAUU
This 26-nucleotide non-coding RNA is filed under the name Rattus norvegicus (Norway rat). The record is from RNAcentral. Lineage: Eukaryota; Metazoa; Chordata; Mammalia; Rodentia; Muridae.